CGGAGGGAGCUAGCGUUGUUCGGAAUUACUGGGCGUAAAGCGCGCGUAGGCGGCUUUGUAAGUUAGAGGUGAAAGCCCGGGGCUCAACCCCGGAACUGCCUUUAAGACUGCAUCGCUUGAAUCCGGGAGAGGUGAGUGGAAUUCCGAGUGUAGAGGUGAAAUUCGUAGAUAUUCGGAAGAACACCAGUGGCGAAGGCGGCUCACUGGACCGGUAUUGACGCUGAUGUGCGAAAGCGUGGGGAGCAAACAGGAUUAGAUACCCUGGUAGUCCACGCCGUAAACGAUGAUAACUAGCUGUCGGGGGCCAUGGGCUUUCGGUGGCGCAGCUAACGCAUUAAGUUAUCCGCCUGGGGAGUACGGCCGCAAGGUUA
Molecule: ribosomal RNA, 371 nt
Filed under: uncultured organism
Description: bacterial SSU rRNA
Rfam family: Bacterial small subunit ribosomal RNA
Source: RNAcentral